This 253-nucleotide ribosomal RNA is filed under the name uncultured bacterium. RNAcentral describes it as "partial 16S ribosomal RNA". It matches the Rfam family "Bacterial small subunit ribosomal RNA", at positions 524 to 776 of the family's 1533-position model. The record is from RNAcentral.
UACGGAGGGGGCGAGCGUUAUUCGGAAUUAUUGGGCGUAAAGGGCGCGUAGGCGGCUCUGUAAGUCAAAGGUGAAAUCCCUCGGCUCAACUGAGGAACUGCCUUUGAAACUGCAGGGCUUGAGGCCGGGAGGGGGUAGCGGAAUUCCCAGUGUAGCGGUGAAAUGCGUAGAUAUUGGGAGGAACACCAGUGGCGAAGGCGGCUACCUGGACCGGUUCUGACGCUGAGGCGCGAAAGCGUGGGUAGCAAACAGG